CUCGGUAGCUAGCUAGAUAAGUAACAUGCAUUCUUGGCUCAAAAGAAUAUAUUAUUAGUAGCUAAACUGAAUUAAUUCUAACCCUAUUACCCAAAUAUGCUGCAUACUACGGAGAAUGAACAGAUACAGUCCAGUAUGUCUUCUGAGGAAAGAAAGAUCAUGCAGACCACUGAGUCCUCCAGCCCCGCCACUGAUUCUCAGGAGUCAGGCAGGCUUUUGAAGAUGGUGAAGCCAGAUGGCUGGGAAAGCUCUCCUGGUGCCUGCACUGUACCUGUGCCAACAAGUUUCAUCUUCUCCCAGAUGCCAUAUGAAAUGUCAAUAAGGAACCUCAACUUGCCAGUGUUUUCUGUCAUCUUUUGCUUGCUCUCUUAGGACAAUGGAAGCAAGAAUAACCCUAUAAACAUCCCGAUGCAGCAUGUGUGCCAUAGGUUCACCACCACUGCCCUACGGUGCUGUUUAAAAUUAAAUAAAGGAAAGGAGUGACUCCCUCAGCUCCAAUGUUUCUA
RNAcentral lists this long non-coding RNA (506 nucleotides) under Fukomys damarensis (Damara mole-rat). RNAcentral's name for it is "lncRNA (ENSFDAG00000030974.1)". Lineage: Eukaryota; Metazoa; Chordata; Mammalia; Rodentia; Bathyergidae. The record is from RNAcentral.